RNAcentral lists this ribosomal RNA (1199 nucleotides) under uncultured bacterium. RNAcentral's name for it is "bacterial SSU rRNA". It matches the Rfam family "Bacterial small subunit ribosomal RNA", at positions 56 to 1256 of the family's 1533-position model. The record is from RNAcentral.
UGCAAGUCGAACGGCAGCGCGGGGGCAACCGUGGCGGCGAGUGGCGAACGGGUGAGUAAUAUAUCGGAACGUACCCAAGAGUGGGGGAUAACGUAGCGAAAGUUACGCUAAUACCGCAUACGAUCUAAGGAUGAAAGCAGGGGAUCGCAAGACCUUGUGCUCCUGGAGCGGCCGAUAUCUGAUUAGCUAGUUGGUGGGGUAAAGGCCCACCAAGGCAACGAUCAGUAGCUGGUCUGAGAGGACGACCAGCCACACUGGAACUGAGACACGGUCCAGACUCCUACGGGAGGCAGCAGUGGGGAAUUUUGGACAAUGGGGGCAACCCUGAUCCAGCAAUGCCGCGUGAGUGAAGAAGGCCUUCGGGUUGUAAAGCUCUUUUGUCAGGGAAGAAAAGGCUGUGGCUAAUAUCCACAGCUGCUGACGGUACCUGAAGAAUAAGCACCGGCUAACUACGUGCCAGCAGCCGCGGUAAUACGUAGGGUGCAAGCGUUAAUCGGAAUUACUGGGCGUAAAGCGUGCGCAGGCGGUUUCGUAAGUCUGUCGUGAAAUCCCCGGGCUUAACCUGGGAAUGGCGAUGGAGACUGCGAAGCUAGAGUUUGGCAGAGGGGGGUAGAAUUCCACGUGUAGCAGUGAAAUGCGUAGAGAUGUGGAGGAACACCGAUGGCGAAGGCAGCCCCCUGGGUCAAAACUGACGCUCAUGCACGAAAGCGUGGGGAGCAAACAGGAUUAGAUACCCUGGUAGUCCACGCCCUAAACGAUGUCUACUAGUUGUUGGGUCUUAAUUGACUUAGUAACGCAGCUAACGCGUGAAGUAGACCGCCUGGGGAGUACGGUCGCAAGAUUAAAACUCAAAGGAAUUGACGGGGACCCGCACAAGCGGUGGAUGAUNUGGAUUAAUUCGAUGCAACGCGAAAAACCUUACCUACCCUUGACAUGGCAGGNAUCCCGGAGAGAUUUGGGAGUGCUCGAAAGAGAACCUGCACACAGGUGCUGCAUGGCUGUCGUCAGCUCGUGUCGUGAGAUGUUGGGUUAAGUCCCGCAACGAGCGCAACCCUUGUCAUUAGUUGCUACGCAAGAGCACUCUAAUGAGACUGCCGGUGACAAACCGGAGGAAGGUGGGGAUGACGUCAAGUCCUCAUGGCCCUUAUGGGUAGGGCUUCACACGUCAUACAAUGGUACAUACAGAGGGCCGCCAACCC